UACGUAGGGGGCGAGCGUUGUCCGGAUUUAUUGGGCGUAAGAGCUCGUAGGCGGUUCGGUAAGUCGGAUGUGAAAUCUCCACGCUCAACGUGGAGGGGCCAUUCGAUACUGCCGUGACUCGAGUCCGGUAGGGGAGUGUGGAAUUCCCGGUGUAGCGGUGAAAUGCGCAGAGAUCGGGAGGAACACCCGUAGCGAAGGCGGCACUCUGGGCCGGUACUGACGCUGAGGAGCGAAAGCGUGGGGAGCGAACAGG
Molecule: ribosomal RNA, 253 nt
Filed under: uncultured bacterium
Lineage: Bacteria
Description: partial 16S ribosomal RNA
Rfam family: Bacterial small subunit ribosomal RNA
Source: RNAcentral